Molecule: ribosomal RNA, 695 nt
Filed under: uncultured bacterium
Lineage: Bacteria
Description: bacterial SSU rRNA
Rfam family: Bacterial small subunit ribosomal RNA
Source: RNAcentral
AACGCUAGCUACAGGCUUAACACAUGCAAGUCGAGGGGCAGCAUUCCAGUUUGCUUGCAAACUGGAGAUGGCGACCGGCGCACGGGUGAGUAACACGUAUCCAACCUGCCGAUAACUCGGGGAUAGCCUUUCGAAAGAAAGAUUAAUACCCGAUGGCAUAAUAGAACCGCAUGGUUUGAUUAUUAAAGAAUUUCGGUUAUCGAUGGGGAUGCGUUCCAUUAGGCAGUUGGUGGGGUAACGGCCCACCAAACCUUCGAUGGAUAGGGGUUCUGAGAGGAAGGUCCCCCACAUUGGAACUGAGACACGGUCCAAACUCCUACGGGAGGCAGCAGUGAGGAAUAUUGGUCAAUGGACGAGAGUCUGAACCAGCCAAGUAGCGUGAAGGAUGACUGCCCUAUGGGUUGUAAACUUCUUUUAUAUGGGAAUAAAGUGGUCCACGUGUGGAUUUUUGUAUGUACCAUAUGAAUAAGGAUCGGCUAACUCCGUGCCAGCAGCCGCGGUAAUACGGAGGAUCCGAGCGUUAUCCGGAUUUAUUGGGUUUAAAGGGAGCGUAGGUGGACAGUUAAGUCAGUUGUGAAAGUUUGCGGCUCAACCGUAAAAUUGCAGUUGAUACUGGCUGUCUUGAGUACAGUAGAGGUGGGCGGAAUUCGUGGUGUAGCGGUGAAAUGCUUAGAUAUCACGAAGAACUCCGAUUG